CACACACACACGGAGUCUGGACCGUUAUUCUCAAUAACUCCACUUUCAAAAACUACAGUGGAAAAAGUAACAUUAAAUUCAUAUUGCUACUUCUGUCUAAUUAUGUCAAUUACGAAUUCCCUCCGUCUAAAUUGAAUUAACGUCCCCCAUAGUGCCUUUCUCUACAGGAGCUCUAGAUGUGAUGAUAAUUAUUGUAUUUGCCCUCUAAUGAUAUUUACAGUUGAGUGAGAUCAAAAUGACUCAUUUCUUCCCCGUGUUGGUUGUUGUGCAGAGAAGCAGUCCAGACUCCUGGAAAUAAGACAAGAAAGGAAUAUUUGAAUGGGGUAAUAUGCAAAGCUUUAGGUGUUUUUGUUGUUUUGAUCGCUCGGGUCGUCCUCAUGUCAGAGCCAUAUGUAUGCAAGCUAGCUUAUGAUUCACCUGAGCCACACAAUGAGAGGGUUGCUAUUAAUACUGAAACACGAACAAUGCACUGCUUUUCUCUGAGGGCAGCACUCGCGUAACACGACAGGAUCUCACCGCCACACAAACACAGAUUCUAUAUAUAAAUAUGUAUUCUCCAGACUACGAUGGUAUCAACUUUCAAACCCUGAUAUGUCCAAAACCCAUUGCUCGUCCGUGGAGAGCUCGAACUGUUUACUACCUCCUGAUGCUCAAACUACAGCGUGAAAUAGACUCUGGCCGCGUGUUAGCGUAUGCAAAUGAGAGCGAUUUACCCAGAGAAGUGAUCUGCUUGAAGACUACACACCAAACAUUGCAGAAUGGUAUCACAGCAGUCUUCUAAUUUGAAUGAUAUGCAAUAAGAACAGAUCCCAUAUUGUUCUGCUAUGUUCCAUAAAUCUUAGAGCGCCCGCAAACGUCAUGAUUACUACAUGAAUAUAAUUAACAGAUGAUUUAACAAGAUUAUAUUGUAUAACUGUGACUUUUGUGACGCUGUACGGCUGAAGGCCGCAUGCAAACGCAGACCGUACCCAUCCUUUCUCUUUCUACCAGUAAGGUUCAUGAUUAGAUUCUCAGGAAGUUUGUGUUCCGUUUGUCUUUUCCCUUUUGUUUGGUGUUUGUGGUCGGAAUCGGCUGGCUCGCCGCGUUGGACACGCAACCGCUCUGUCGCAGAGCGCCUCCAAUGUAAACGCCACUGAUUCCGCGGCAGCGGCUUGAAAUGAGGCCCCGGCUAAAUUCGGAAUCCGAGAAUCAGAGAAUUGUCAUGCUGAGGCGUUCGGUGGCGUUUAGAUUCCAGGCGUUGUGCGUCUUUGGACGUUGUAAUGAUUCAGUGAUCCUCAUUUGCUUCCACGCUGUUCCAACAACGAGGGCUCGUCCCACGAGCUUUUCAAUCCGUCUUCAUGUUAAAUUUGACUUUUGAUUCGUCGCCGGGACGUGAGAUGUGUUUCUCUUCCAGUUUCCUUUUGGGCACAAAGCUUCUCAGACCAAACCAGCAAUAAAAGACUAAGUCAAUCAUUUGGAGCAGAUCUGGUUUCACCGUUAAGAUCUGUCACCUCUGAAGCAUUAAAGUACGUUAUGCUUUCUUGUUUUACCUGGAGGCCCCGGGCUGAAGGGAGGAGGAGGCCGGUGGCGCUCCCUCUGUGUGUAGCGGUGUCGUGUGUGGGUGGAGGCGGAGGCGGCGGCGCUCCUCUCUGCAUGUAGAACAGAGCGCGUUGUGCUGAUGUCGUGCUGAGCUCGUUUCUUCGUUCUUUCGUUGUAAGCGUCUGUGUUUCUUUCCCUUUUCUCCCGCUGUGAUCAGUAAAUGUAUGGUUGCCCAUAUCUGCCAAGAAAAGAAAAGUAAAAGUGGGCCGGGAUCCAAUCCAGAUUAAAAGUAAAGGUAUAUUGAUUCAAUAUUUUUGUCUGACUCAGGAAAAAUUAUAAAAAAUGCGUCCGUUGAAAUAAAAAGUGUGACUUUUUAAUUUUUUACUUCUCAUAAUUUUGGCUCAGUGAAUCAAUUUUGAUGUAUUUAAUAAUAAUCAAUCAAUAAUGAAAUAUGAAUAAUCUAUAAUUGUGUCCAAAUCCAAAUCUCUCUUUCUGGCAGCACUGGGCUUCCAUAGCAGGACGUCGUGUGGUUGAUGGUUAUUGCUCAACUGGUUCUGCCAAAUGUGGGCGGAGCUGGAUGUCUUUGUUUUGUUUUUCUUGGAUACUAACACGGGUCUUUUGUAUGUGAUCCCCCCCCCCCAUCCAUUAUAUUGAACCAUUAUAUUGUGGUG
Gasterosteus aculeatus aculeatus (three-spined stickleback) is the source of this 2189-nucleotide long non-coding RNA. NCBI's taxonomy places the organism in Eukaryota, Metazoa, Chordata, Actinopteri, Perciformes, Gasterosteidae. The record is from Ensembl.